GCCUGAUUUCAGUAUGUAGCCCACUGAGCUAUGAUAAAUAAUAUUUUAAUGAACAAAAAUCCCUCAAACAUGCUGUGAAACAUGUAUGAACAUUUCAUUUACUGCCACAUUUAAACUACAGAAGCUGAGCCAGACUCACAGCUAGGUGCCUCCCAGGGUCAGUCGUCUAUGUGAAAUGAUUUCUCUGACAUCCUGAAGUACGUCUGAAAGCUUCGACUCUGGGAUCAAACCAGGAAAUUCUCCCUCCUGCUGCCUUUUCCUGAGAAUCCAGAGUCUUCCCCUAGAAACAUCAGAACCAGCUCAACACCACUUUAUGUCCACUCCAUUUUUUUCACUGCAUGAUUUUUCA
Long non-coding RNA from Oreochromis niloticus (Nile tilapia), 349 nucleotides. RefSeq lists it as uncharacterized. The transcript has 2 exons. The record is from RefSeq and is a predicted model, not a curated record. Lineage: Eukaryota; Metazoa; Chordata; Actinopteri; Cichliformes; Cichlidae.